This 96-nucleotide non-coding RNA is filed under the name pig gut metagenome. RNAcentral describes it as "THF riboswitch". It matches the Rfam family "THF (Tetrahydrofolate) riboswitch aptamer". From Rfam's summary of the family: THF riboswitch presents a pseudoknot that joins P1-P2 and the loop of P3 and two THF binding. The record is from RNAcentral.
GCAGAGUAGCUGCUGGCGCGUCAAGUGUUCAUGAACGGGGAGUUGUCAUGAAACGAAGUCGUUGACCGACGCGGUGCCAGCGGCGCAUCCCGCUGC